UUAUUUGAGAGUUUGAUCCUGGCUCAGGAUGAACGCUGGCGGCGUGCCUAACACAUGCAAGUCGAACGAAGCACCUUUUGAGAUUCUUCGGAUGAACAUUUGGUGACUGAGUGGCGGACGGGUGAGUAACGCGUGGGUAACCUGCCCUGUACAGGGGGAUAACAGCCAGAAAUGGCUGCUAAUACCGCAUAAGCGCACGAAGGGGCAUCCUUCCGUGUGAAAAACUCCGGUGGUACAGGAUGGGCCCGCGUCUGAUUAGCUGGUUGGCGGGGUAACGGCCCACCAAGGCGACGAUCAGUAGCCGGUCUGAGAGGAUGAACGGCCACAUUGGAACUGAGACA
RNAcentral lists this non-coding RNA (341 nucleotides) under Eubacteriaceae bacterium CHKCI004. RNAcentral describes it as "Bacterial small subunit ribosomal RNA". It matches the Rfam family "Bacterial small subunit ribosomal RNA", at positions 1 to 326 of the family's 1533-position model. The record is from Rfam by way of RNAcentral. Lineage: Bacteria; Bacillati; Bacillota; Clostridia; Eubacteriales; Eubacteriaceae.